Long non-coding RNA from Sander lucioperca (pikeperch), 301 nucleotides. RefSeq lists it as uncharacterized. NCBI's taxonomy places the organism in Eukaryota, Metazoa, Chordata, Actinopteri, Perciformes, Percidae. The record is from RefSeq and is a predicted model, not a curated record. The transcript has 3 exons.
CGUGUAUAAAGCCAUCAUAUUUCCACAUGUAAAUGUGUGAAUUAAGGGUGUUGUCAGAAAGGUGUGUUAGAAGAGUUUCUUUGUUGUGUUGAGAAAGAGGUAAAAUGAGUAACGUCCAGAUGCUGAGAGCGUUGGUGGAGCAGCGACUAACUGCGGCUGCUGAAGAGAUAUUUGGGCUGUUUGAAAGAACGAUAGUAGAGUACGAGGAGGAACUUUGUCGUUCAAAAGAGGAGAACAAGCGACAACGGGAACUACUGGACUCUGUUUUCAACCCUCAGCUUCGGUUACACAGAGCAGGUUU